Molecule: ribosomal RNA, 254 nt
Filed under: uncultured cyanobacterium
Lineage: Bacteria; Bacillati; Cyanobacteriota
Description: partial 16S ribosomal RNA
Rfam family: Bacterial small subunit ribosomal RNA
Source: RNAcentral
AUCUGACGGUACCUAUCGAAUCAGCAUCGGCUAACUCCGUGCCAGCAGCCGCGGUAAUACGGAGGAUGCAAGCGUUAUCCGGAAUUAUUGGGCGUAAAGCGUCCGUAGGUGGUUUUAYAAGUCUGUUGUCAAAUCCCGAGGCUUAACCUCGUACAGGCAGUGGAAACUAUAAGNCUAGAGUGUGGUAGGGGUAGAGGGAAUUUCCAGUGUAGCGGUGAAAUGCGUAGAUAUUGGAAAGAACACCGGUGGCGAAG